CCCAGCACUUUAACAACAAUAAUAAUGUAAAAACCACUCUCACGCAGAAGGAAGAGAAAGUAGCUUCGGCUUCCCGCCCCAGCCGAGGCCCUUCCUGCCUGGCUCCCUUCCCACCCACUCCCAGCUUCACGUUUCUCCCAAGCUCACUACUACCCCGUUUCCUUCCUCUUCUCCUUCUCUUUCCAGAACGCCAGCUCCCCCAGGAGCCAGCCUCGCGUCUGCCCGGCACUGCUGGAUCCACAGUGCCCGGGACAGGACCUGGGUCGCAGCAGGCUCUCAACAACUCAGCUGAAGGAACAAAUCACUGCAGCGCAGAUCAACUCAGAGCCUUGCAACCGUGGGGCGCAGCUGCGGCCUGCUCCUCGGACACCGAGGCUCGGAAGAACGUGACCAGCCGCUCCUCCCGUUACACACCGUCAUUCCGCACUCAUCCUACCAGUGCUACCACUAGAGAGACAGAAAGGAGACACACAAAGCCAGGAUCAAAGUGCACAAAGGAGGUGCCAGGAAGUCACCCGGCUCUGGUCUGGUGCUAACAAACAAGAGGAGAUGGGAAAUCCUGUGUGGCUGGCAGUUCCACAAACACCGCGCUCCUCCAGGGCUCGGCCCCUCCUGCCGCAGCUGAGUGGGCGCAGGCGUGUGCGGAGCACGGGGUGGGGAGCAGAAAUGCCUCUGCAGGGUGGACAUGCAUGGAAGCAAAGGAAACACAAGGAAGGGAGGCAGAGCAGGCAGGGCGGAGGGGCAAGGGCACUGAGAGAGGCCUGCCGGGAACACAACGCCAGCAGGGAAGGAGAAGGUGGGGGAGGACAGGGAGGAAGAAAUCAGAGAACACGCAUGCGCCCAGGGAGGGUGGCGGCGCCCUGUGCACCCAGGAGCAGCGAGCUACACUGUUAUGCUGCAAACAGGUCUGAAGGCCCUGCAAGCCUUGGCUCCACUCUCCAAAGCUGCAGGCACAGGUGGAAAGAGUACUACGGUGCCAUUUAGCCGACAUCUUAUGUGUCCCAGCCCUGCCUCCCCAAGCCCCUGCCAGACUCACCGUGACCACGCUGUGCUAGGAUCCCGGCCGCCGCGGCAGCCUUCCUCUCCCUCCCCCGGCGCUGCAGUGAGCAGCUGAGCCGGGCUCCCUGGGCACACACAGCUUCCCCACCUCCUGGAGAGCGAAGGUUAAAGAGGAAAACUCGGCAGGCAGGCACAGGACACAGCAAGGCAGCCUGCAGGCCCCAGGGCAGGGCCAGGGCGGGGCGCGGCCACUGGUCAAGGCCUGUGUGCGAAAGGCUGCCAACGCGGGGUUCAGGGCCAUCCCCGAGGAGACCUGUGUGCAGCCCCUCCUCAGACUGGACGACCCACGACAGCCAUGCAGUCCACGUCUCGAGCGUGCCCAGCACCCUCCAGGCCCCGGUUCAUGCUCCAGGACUGAAACCAAAGCUGAAGGUCACAUGGAGAGUUCUGCUCACGAUUCCUACCCGGAUGAGGACAGGGACGCAGCUCGGUGCUGCGCCUGAUUCCCAGUACUGGGAAACCAGGAAGCGCAGAGACAACUGGCUAUGAGGCCACAGGGCCUUGAGUGAGGUGCAUUUUGCCUUAUGGUUUCGUCCCCUCUCCAGGAGACCAGCUGGCCCUGCGGCAGGACCACCCGUGCACACACCGGGAAAAGGCUACGCGCUACAGUGGGGAGCCAGGGUACGCCCUGCAUCCGAGCGAAGAGAGGCUGCCUGGAUGCAGACGGACCUCUUGAAGCCUGGUCCGAAACCUUCCUCAGGCACUGAAGGCCCGGUGCCUGCCCAGCUCCCCGCCUUGGCCCCCCCACAUCAUGGUCUCGGUUCUGUGGGUCUCCGUCUGGUUUGAACCACAAAGCAAUUGCUACUUCAGUCCUGAGUCCAGGCCCGCACCCCUGUCGUCUUCCUGAAGCCCCUCCCACCCCUUCUCGGCUCCCCUACCUCCCGCUUGCCCUCUCCCACCACUCCAGAGUGCAUGGUGCUCAGCUCCACCCUGCAUUUUGCUGGGGUGCUGGGAUCAAAAUGCAGCACAUGCCAGGCAAGCACUCUACUGAGUGACACCCCAGCUUCCUUUUUUUGUGGGGCAUACUGAGGAUCAAACUCAUGUUUACCAGGCAAGUACUUGAGCCACUGAACCAAAUUCCUGGCCCUCUGAUCCCCCUGUAAUUUGAGAUAGGGUCUCACUAAACUGCCUAGGCUGGUCUUGAACUCAAGACCGUCCCGCCUCUGCCUCCCUCCUAGCUGGGAUCACAGACAUGCACAAUAUUCAGCUUCCAUUGUACUCUUUUUUUUUUUUUUUUUUUUUUUUUGUCUUUUUCCUUUUUAUCGGUACUGGGGAUCAAACUCACAUGGAGAGUCCUGCUCAUGAUUCCUACCCGGAAUACUGCCUGCUUCCAAGGCAGGUGCUUAUGCGGCUGAGCUAAAUCCCCAGCCCCCUUCCAUUUUACUCUUACACUGAAUUAUCCUAUAUUUAACUGUGAAUGAGUAAAACUUCGUUUUGAAAAACACA
This is a long non-coding RNA of Cavia porcellus (domestic guinea pig), 2505 nucleotides long. RefSeq lists it as uncharacterized. NCBI's taxonomy places the organism in Eukaryota, Metazoa, Chordata, Mammalia, Rodentia, Caviidae. The record is from RefSeq and is a predicted model, not a curated record. The transcript is spliced from 2 exons.